UACGUAGGGGGCAAGCGUUGUCCGGAUUUAUUGGGCGUAAAGAGCGUGUAGGCGGCUGGGUAGGUCCGUUGUGAAAACCCGAGGCUCAACCUCGGGCCUGCAGUGGGUACGGGCAGACUAGAGUGCGGUAGGGGAGAUUGGAAUACCUGGUGUAGCGGUGAAAUGCGCAGAUAUCAGGAGGAACACCGGUGGCGAAGGCGGGUCUCUGGGCCGAUACUGACGCUGAGGAGCGAAAGCGUGGGGAGCGAACAGG
RNAcentral lists this ribosomal RNA (253 nucleotides) under uncultured bacterium. Its description in RNAcentral is "partial 16S ribosomal RNA". It matches the Rfam family "Bacterial small subunit ribosomal RNA", at positions 524 to 776 of the family's 1533-position model. The record is from RNAcentral.